GUGAGUCAUCGAAUCUUUGAACGCACCUUGCGCUCGUUGGUAUUCCGACGAGCAUGCCUGUUUGAGUGUCAUUACAUUCUCAAUCUUACCAGUUUUGUUAUGAGACUGUGUAAGGCUUGGAUGUGGGGGUUUGUGCAGGCUGCCUCAGUGCGGUCUGCUCCCCUGAAAUGCAUUAGCGAGUUCAAACUGAGCUCCGUCUAUUGGUGUGAUAAUUAUCUACGCCGUGGAUGGUUCUUAGACUUGCUUCUAACCGUCUGCAAGGACAACUUUUGACAAUUUGACCUCAAAUCAGGUAGGACU
RNAcentral lists this unclassified non-coding RNA (300 nucleotides) under uncultured Coprinellus. RNAcentral describes it as "sequence contains 5.8S rRNA gene, ITS2". The stretch from base 1 to 71 matches the Rfam family "5.8S ribosomal RNA", at positions 84 to 154 of the family's 154-position model. The record is from RNAcentral. Lineage: Eukaryota; Fungi; Basidiomycota; Agaricomycetes; Agaricales; Psathyrellaceae.